RNAcentral lists this long non-coding RNA (669 nucleotides) under Homo sapiens (human). RNAcentral describes it as "LHRI_LNC1627.2". The record is from RNAcentral. Lineage: Eukaryota; Metazoa; Chordata; Mammalia; Primates; Hominidae.
GCUCUCUAGCCAGGACAGCCCAUCCUCAGGCCACCCAGCUCCGUGAGUGAGUUCCCUGCACAGCCUGUGACUGACUCACCGAUGCAGUGGGGCUGAUCUUCACAUGGCACCCCAAGCAGGCUUUUCCAGUUCACAUCUGCCAACAAGGCAGCCAAGGGGGUGGUUUAGGAAGUAGAGAAAAGGUGAAAAGGCAGCGGAGGGAGCCGGCUGUCCUGUGUCUCCUCUUUUUCCUGCCCCCAGUGACUUGCAUUUUCUCUGAGACAGCUGCCAUUCUAGUCUCCCAGCCAUUCUUAGGAAGAGACGUGCCUGUCUCUGGGAAGAGGCAACUUCUCUGCAUGUCAGAGGUCUGUUACAUUUCCCAGAAUGGUUCCCAGUGCUGGAGAUAAUUCCUUUUCGGAGAACCUACAUUUCUCACCUGCUGAUUGCAAUUAGCCACUACCAGCUGGGGCCUGGUGUGCAGCUGAAAAGCUAACAAGAAGUGGAGACCACGCGGAACUCAGACAGGGCAUAGGAUGUGCAUAAAUAAGCAACGGUGCCUGUGUUUAUGAGAUGCUCCUGUGAAUUCGAGGCUUCCCCACCCUCUGCAUAACUCUCCCUCUUCUGGCUUUGUGCUGCACACCCCUCCCCUAACUAUAUUUUUUGUCUCUGGUUUUGUAGCCUACGUUUAAC